RNAcentral lists this ribosomal RNA (679 nucleotides) under Weissella paramesenteroides. RNAcentral describes it as "bacterial SSU rRNA". It matches the Rfam family "Bacterial small subunit ribosomal RNA", at positions 56 to 718 of the family's 1533-position model. Lineage: Bacteria; Bacillati; Bacillota; Bacilli; Lactobacillales; Lactobacillaceae. The record is from RNAcentral.
UGAUCUGACGAGCUUGCUCUGAUUUGAUUUUAUCUGACAAAGAGUGGCGAACGGGUGAGUAACACGUGGGUAACCUACCUCUUAGCAGGGGAUAACAUUUGGAAACAAGUGCUAAUACCGUAUAAUACCAACAACCGCAUGGUUGUUGGUUGAAAGAUGGUUCUGCUAUCACUAAGAGAUGGACCCGCGGUGCAUUAGCUAGUUGGUAAGGUAACGGCUUACCAAGGCAAUGAUGCAUAGCCGAGUUGAGAGACUGAUCGGCCACAAUGGGACUGAGACACGGCCCAUACUCCUACGGGAGGCAGCAGUAGGGAAUCUUCCACAAUGGGCGCAAGCCUGAUGGAGCAACGCCGCGUGUGUGAUGAAGGGUUUCGGCUCGUAAAACACUGUUAUAAGAGAAGAACGGCACUGAGAGUAACUGUUCAGUGUGUGACGGUAUCUUACCAGAAAGGAACGGCUAAAUACGUGCCAGCAGCCGCGGUAAUACGUAUGUUCCAAGCGUUAUCCGGAUUUAUUGGGCGUAAAGCGAGCGCAGACGGUUAUUUAAGUCUGAAGUGAAAGCCCUCAGCUCAACUGAGGAAUGGCUUUGGAAACUGGAUGACUUGAGUGCAGUAGAGGAAAGUGGAACUCCAUGUGUAGCGGUGAAAUGCGUAGAUAUAUGGAAGAACACCAGUGGCGA